UUUUGUCACUUAAGUUGUUCAGCGACGUAUGUUCUCUUGUCGUUUUAUGGUUAAGCGACGAAUCUGUUUGGUUUAGCGACGAGCUUGAUUUCGUCGCUUUAUUAAAUGCGACGAAUGGUUCCGUCGCUAUAGCCUUAUGCGACAAAAGACUUUUUUGGUCUGUCAACUUUUGGCGCCUAAUUUUUACUCUUAAGAGACAAAAGUUUCGUCGCUUAGGUUUUAGUUUUUUUGAAAAAAAAAAAAAAUUUAUUAUUACUGAGAGAGAUAUUCUAAUAACUCAAAAAUAUAUUCCUGUAAGUUAUAAAUAAUUAAUUCCUGUAAAACCAAAAUAAAUUAACCGAAAUAUUUAUAUUACUAAUAAUAAUAAUAAAGUUAUCGUACCAACCAAAUAAAUACUAGCUAAUAUUGUUUGUACAAUUAUUUAAACUAAAAAAGUCUACUAAUUUCCUAAACUAAUAUGAGAAGUGUCAAGGCCCCUAUCAUCAUCGUCGUCUCGAGGUUGUUGGCUUGGGACCGAGGGUGAACACAUAGGCUGUUGCCCUAUUCGAGCCAUGAUUUGAUCCAUUUGCAACUUUAACACUUGAUAAUCUGCAACAGACUGCUCAACGAUCUUCUAGGCUUUUUCAGCCUUCUCUUGUGCUUUGUCAGCCCUCUCUUGUGCCUCAGCCGCCUCCUUUCUAGCAGCCACUAUCUCUGUCAUCGCCUCAUUAUUCGGUCAAGAGCAUGAAGAGGAAGAUGUUGACCUUCUGCUCUUCUCUAGGACUCCUGCUCGUCCAAUACCACGAAGGUAAGACCCUUUUGUUUCUCCCAUAGCGUUUUGCACAACACUUAGUUGAGUUGGCCAGUCCAAAGGAGGCAGCUGAUCCGGUGGGAUGUCCGGGUGUUGAGUGCUCUGCAAAGUCUUGGCAAUAGCACCCUGUUCCUUCAACUUUUCCUACAAUUCAAGAAUAAUGCAACUAUUAUAACAUCAUCAAAACAUGAUAACUGAAGCAGUAAUCAGCUUUACCAAAUACACAUCACAUGAAAUAUGCAACAGGCAUCAGCUUUACAAUAUAACAAUCAAACACCAUACUAUGGACACCCAUAGUAUCAUCACACACCACGAAAGCUUCUAAUGAGGCUAGUAAAUCAUCCUUGUAAUUCUGGAACGUAGCAUGGUUCUGUAAUAUCCCACAUCGGCCAAACGGGGAGGGGUUAUGUGCUGUAUAUGUACAUACCCACCUCCAAUCUAACACGAGGCCUUUUGGUGGCUCAGCGGCUUCAGAGGGGAUGGGUACUCCGAGGUUAAGCAUGUUGAUGCUAGAGCAAUCCCAGGAUGGGUGACCUACUGGGAAGCUGCUCCUGAGCUGCCGGAAACAAAACCGUGAGGGCCGGUGGGCCCAAAGCGGACAAUAUCGUGUUACGGCGGAAUGGGUCCUGGGGUGUUACAGGUUCUCUAUACACUAGCAACAUGCUUAUACACACACACACUUAGCUCAACAGAAAACAAGGAAGCAUACUCAAAAUUCUGGGACUUUACCAACUGCAGGGUAAACUUUGAAAAAUCACCGACUUGUCAAUUUACAUUGGAAUAAGCUGAAACUUUCCAGAUCAAUAGUUCUCAUAUAGAAGAACAAGAGUACAAAGUUUCAGACCAAAAUGAGUCUUAAAUCCUGAUCAAAUUCAGACUUAACACAACUCCGCAGCAUAACUCGAAUGCAAUUUCAGCACAAAGCACUUAAUUUUAGAAAAUCACCAUAAUUCAUCUAUCUUAUCAAAUAACACCAAAAUUUGCAGACCAAGAGUAAACAUAAGGAAGAACAAGAGCACAAAAUUUCAAGCCAAACGAAGACCCAAAACCCAAUCAAAUACGAAGCAACUGAACUGCUGAACACAAACACAAUUUCCAGCGCAGUGUACCCAAAUUCAAAAAUUCACCAUGAAUCAUCUACCUUAUCAAACAACACCAAACUUUCCAGAUCAAGGGUAAUCGCAUGGAAGGACAAGGGUACAAAGUUUCAAGCCAAACGGAGUCCUCAAUCCAAAUGAAAUUCGAACUCAAGACAGCUACACCGCAUAACCCCAAAAGUUUCAGCACAAAACACAUAUCAGCAAUUCACUAUAAUUUAACUACACUUAUUACCAAAUGAACAUCACAUGAAAUAUACAACAGACAAAGUGGCAUAGAAACUUUGUUAAGGCAUUAGGUAUUGAUACUUACAUAAUGCUCAGCAGCUUUAGGCUGGUUGAUGUCGUAUGUCACCGGGUACACGUCAACCACCGGUAAUGAAACACCCUUAUCUCUUAACUCGGCCACCCAGUAAAUGAUAGGUUUCCUCCCUGAGUAGUGCUCUAACUCCUUCUUACCACGGUUGCUGGAGUUGGCAACCGAUUGUCUCUGCACAAAUUUUCAAGUCAUUAAGAGUCCUAAAUCCCACUCAAAUCACAAGUACACAGUAGCAAAACUACACAGCAAAUGAAACAAGUAAACAUAAAGCAAAGCAAUGACAUGUAUGCAGGUAGUCUAGAUUACUGGGAGGUACUAAGUUUGACAUGGUAGAGUACAGUUUUAAGACUAUGCAUGUAUGGAGGAAAUGCAGAUAUGAGUUUAACUAAUACUGUUAUAUACAAGGAAAAAAAACAAGUAAACAACAGCAAAACCAACAUUUCCUUGCAAUAAAGAGUAAAGCAAAAAAGCAAAAGUGCAGCAGCCUCAUCAGUCAAGUACCUGCAGAGGGAGAAAAUGAGAAAUGCAAAACGAAAGUUGUACUCCCAGUUUGCAUACACUAGAUAUUGAGCACCAUAGCUGUGCAGAUUGUAUUCUGGAAACAAUAUACAUAAACUCAUCUUUUUCGUUUCUUCUCAAAAAAAAAAAAAUAUAUAUAUAUAUUAUAUACAUAAACUCAUGUGAAUAUUCAUUCUUUUGGUGUCGUACAUGAGCUAAAUGGCAGCAUAACAUCCAACAAA
Molecule: long non-coding RNA, 2946 nt
Filed under: Fragaria vesca (wild strawberry)
Lineage: Eukaryota; Viridiplantae; Streptophyta; Magnoliopsida; Rosales; Rosaceae
Description: long non-coding RNA (FVES_LNC005359)
Source: RNAcentral